RNAcentral lists this long non-coding RNA (414 nucleotides) under Ricinus communis (castor bean). Its description in RNAcentral is "long non-coding RNA (RCOM_LNC002039)". The record is from RNAcentral. Lineage: Eukaryota; Viridiplantae; Streptophyta; Magnoliopsida; Malpighiales; Euphorbiaceae.
UCUUGCAAUAUGAACAAACAAGUAAGACAAAUAAAAACACAAGGAUUUAACAAGGUUCGGUAAUGUGCCUACGUCAUCGGAAGCGAUGAGCGGCUGUAUCUAUUAUUAUUUGAUAAUAAUCUGCUCCGUUCGCUCGUUGUGCUGCGCUUCACUCGCUCACCCCACUCCGUUCCAGCAUCUGUCCCUUAAACUGGUAUAUCAUCCAUACCUAAUAAAAUUCUAUAUCAAAUUAUUUAUAUAAUUAUUUUUAAUGAAAUUGAAGAGAGUUUUGGUAGGAAAACUAACCGCGAGACUUAGCUGCCACAUACACAACAAAUUUAUAAGAGAAAAAUUGACGGUGUGACAAUUGCUACUUUCUUGCUCUCAAGUGGCGUAUGAAGUUCACAUUGCUCCGAAGAACAAAGUGGCAGUACG